This 253-nucleotide unclassified non-coding RNA is filed under the name uncultured Acidobacteriota bacterium. RNAcentral describes it as "uncultured Acidobacteria bacterium contains 16S-23S intergenic spacer region". It matches the Rfam family "Bacterial small subunit ribosomal RNA", at positions 524 to 776 of the family's 1533-position model. The record is from RNAcentral. Lineage: Bacteria; Pseudomonadati; Acidobacteriota.
UACGGAGGGGGCUAGCGUUAUUCGGAAUCAUUGGGCGUAAAGGGCGCGUAGGCGGCUUUGCAAGUCAGAGGUGAAAUCCCUCGGCUCAACCGAGGAAUUGCCUCUGAAACUGCAAAGCUUGAGGCCGGGAGGGGGUAGCGGAAUUCCCAGUGUAGCGGUGAAAUGCGUAGAUAUUGGGAGGAACACCAGUGGCGAAGGCGGCUACCUGGACCGGUUCUGACGCUGAUGCGCGAAAGCGUGGGGAGCAAACAGG